RNAcentral lists this ribosomal RNA (638 nucleotides) under uncultured Akkermansia sp. RNAcentral's name for it is "bacterial SSU rRNA". It matches the Rfam family "Bacterial small subunit ribosomal RNA", at positions 20 to 681 of the family's 1533-position model. Lineage: Bacteria; Pseudomonadati; Verrucomicrobiota; Verrucomicrobiia; Verrucomicrobiales; Akkermansiaceae. The record is from RNAcentral.
GAAUUCACUAGUGAUUGGCGGCGUGGUUAAGACAUGCAAGUCGAACGAGAGAAUUGCUAGCUUGCUAAUAAUUCUCUAGUGGCGCACGGGUGAGUAACACGUGAGUAACCUGCCCCCGAGAGCGGGAUAGCCCUGGGAAACUGGGAUUAAUACCGCAUAGUAUCGAAAGAUUAAAGCAGCAAUGCGCUUGGGGAUGGGCUCGCGGCCUAUUAGUUAGUUGGUGAGGUAACGGCUCACCAAGGCGAUGACGGGUAGCCGGUCUGAGAGGAUGUCCGGCCACACUGGAACUGAGACACGGUCCAGACACCUACGGGUGGCAGCAGUCGAGAAUCAUUCACAAUGGGGGAAACCCUGAUGGUGCGACGCCGCGUGGGGGAAUGAAGGUCUUCGGAUUGUAAACCCCUGUCAUGUGGGAGCAAAUUAAAAAGAUAGUACCACAAGAGGAAGAGACGGCUAACUCUGUGCCAGCAGCCGCGGUAAUACAGAGGUCUCAAGCGUUGUUCGGAAUCACUGGGCGUAAAGCGUGCGUAGGCUGUUUCGUAAGUCGUGUGUGAAAGGCGCGGGCUCAACCCGCGGACGGCACAUGAUACUGCGAGACUAGAGUAAUGGAGGGGGAACCGGAAUUCACGGUGUAGCAA